UUGUGAUACUCUCUCUCCUUUGAAUAAUCUAGCAUGUUUAAAAGUAAUAUAACCUGGUUUAAAGUGCAUGGAAAUGUAAAGAUACAUCAUUGCUGAUGUUUCCUUGAGUUUGUCAUUGAGUUUCGUCAGAAAAACGGACAUUAUUGCUGUUAGAUCUGUCAGAGAUUUUCUCCUCAAUUGCAUAUUUCCUAACUCGCUGCAGGUGAAUGAGAGAGAGCCUGUUAACACUGUGUGUACUGAUCGUGCCCCGUGCUGCUCUUUAUAGGUAUGUUACCGUGUUAAAAUUGUUAUCUGUGAUAUAUUUUGUGUACUUUUAUGGAAGAACUGCACUGAAUGAGUAGCUUGAACUUGGAGGAAAAGAUCGGUUUUAUUUAUUGUGCACUUAUUUUUUUUCAUUUUGCAAAGAUGUUUAUGUUUAAUUCUAUGUGUAAAGUGAAGGAUAAAGACCUCUAGUAAAACAAGUUACAUUUUGUUUUAAUGGGUAUUAAUGUUACUCACUGGAUAUUUGCAAUUUCUUUUGUUUUUAAUGUAACUAUUAAUUUCAAAUACACAUGCAAAGGCAUACAUUCUUGUCACUGUGCACUUAUUUUAUUUGUAUUAUUUUGUGUAGUACAACAACAACAAAAAAGGCAGAACUUGGACAGCUUUUGUGCUGGUGAAUGAGAGAGAGCCUGUUAACACUGUGUGUACUGAUCGUGCCCCGUGCUGCUCUUUAUAGGUAUGUUACCGUGUUAAAAUUGUUAUCUGUGAUAUAUUUUGUGUACUUUUAUGGAAGAACUGCACUGAAUGAGUAGCUUGAACUUGGAGGAAAAGAUCGGUUUUAUUUAUUGUGCACUUAUUUUUUUUCAUUUUGCAAAGAUGUUUAUGUUUAAUUCUAUAUGUAAAGUGAAGGAUAAGACCUCUAGUAAAACAAGUUACAUUUUGUUUUAAUGGGUAUUAAUGUUACUCACUGGAUAUUUGAAAUUUCUUUUGUUUUUAAUGUAACUAUUAAUUUCAAAUACACAUGCAAAGGCAUGCAUUCUUGUCACUGUGCACUUAUUUUAUUUGUAUUAUUUUGUGUAGUACAACAACAAAAAA
Anguilla anguilla (European eel) is the source of this 1077-nucleotide long non-coding RNA. RefSeq lists it as uncharacterized. The record is from RefSeq and is a predicted model, not a curated record. The transcript has 2 exons. NCBI's taxonomy places the organism in Eukaryota, Metazoa, Chordata, Actinopteri, Anguilliformes, Anguillidae.